GCUCAAUGCUGUGGCUCCAGGCAAACACUUCUCAGACAAACCAGAAAGGCACUAUCUGGCUUUUAAUAUUGAUCACUUCUCACACAUUCACUCACACACAUCACAUGUCAGAGAAAUCAAUGAACAGACAAAUUUACGCUGGCUGUGCACCAAGUAUUUCUCGUAGUAUUUGUGUUUUUUAGUUUGUGUGAGUGUAUAUGCAUGGCUUAGAAAAGAGGAGAGAGUUGAAAAGUUGAAGCCAGAAAGUUCUGUGAAGAUUUUUAACAAACGAUUGUGUGGUGGUGCUGGUGGGGGGGAUAUAUAGAGGGGAGGCAUAAAGGAGGCGUUGUCGGUAGGAGAAGAGAGGAGGGGAUUAGGGUUGGCGGUUCGCUGUCGAACCAGCAUCGAUACAACGGCAGCAUUUGCCUAAUCCCCUGGUAAUGGCAGCUUAGCAGCCUCCUCGGACACACAAACACUCCCACUACCUCCUCCUCCGCUCUGCUCCUCUCUUCUCCUUUCCUGCCCUCUUCCCUCCUCAUUUACAUAACAUUAGAAACAUUAAGGCGGCUCCAACAAGGCCCCAUUAUGUGCGUGUUGGUUUUGGGUCCCAUUGCGUCGGCCCCAAAGCUUUGGAAAGGAGAAGAGCAGAAUGAGUCAGGACAUCACAGAGGCUUGUCCAGUGUUUUGUCUGCUGGAGAUGGUUUGUGUGCCUCUAAAGGACUUAUUGAAAAGAGAGGGAGAGAGAAAGGGAGAAAGUGAUUUUGUUUCUGAGAGAACAGAGCUAGUGAUCUGAUUGCAGAUGUGAGACCAAAACAGCAGCUCCAACAUCCUGAAGAUGGGAAAUUAACUUCAGAUAGGUGUUGUCUGUUUUUCUGAUAAUUAAUGAGGCUGGAGUUACAUCAAAAGCACCAUGACAAUGAUGUUUCAUGGACGGUUCUUGGCACCAGAGUUGUUUUUCAGAGCUGAAGUUCAGACAUCCUCAAGGUGACAGAACUGAUAAACAGAACUGAGCUGUUCACCUAACAAAGCCGCUGUUUACUCAGUCUGCCACACAUGCACAUCUUUCUUACCAUGGAACUUCAAUUUACAAUUAAAGACAGUAGCUUUUAAACCAUAACAUUCUAGCUUCAAGUUUGAUAAUAAUAAAUGUGGUGAUAUAUUCGGCAAAAGUGGUGCAAAAUAGCUGUCUUUGAAAUUAGAAAGAGAUCAUAAAGCGAAUUGAUGAAUUCAAUUGAAUUCAACUUGCUGUGAUAAAAAAACAGACCUAAAAAAUUAGUUUUCAUGAUUGGAAAAACCGAAAUCCCAUCAAAAAUCCUAUUAUUUAUACAAAAUAAUAAUUGCAACAUUAUGCCAAUAAGACUGAAUACUAGAUAAUACUGUAUGUCACCAUACUAGAGCUAUAUCUGGAAAGGAAUAAAGGAACAACAUGUGAAAAAAAAACAUUCUAGAAUAAAUAAUUUUAUAAUCUACUCUUUACUAUAUUUUCAGUACCAAAUGAUGGAGGCCUUACAUAGAACCAUUUGUGGCCCUCUGUGUCCAGGAGGUAAUUGCCAACAUUUUUUAUAUUAAAAAGGGCUAAAUCUCCAGGUUAAACUUGGGGCAGAAAGAAGUCUUUCAGUAAAGUUGAUAUCUUCACAUCAUGUUACAGCAAUAACACUUUCAGAACUAUACCGUAGAUAACAGAAAUAGAUGGCUCUAACAUUAUGUGCAACAGUGUCUUUUAGUUCCCUAUUCGGCCUGUAUACAGGUUUUAAUGCACAACCCUAACUCUAAGCCUAAUAUCAGCCAUUUAGAUCAUCUUACAAUUAUACAAAUUAUACACAAUCUAUCAUGGUUAUUAAUGAGUGAGAAAAGACAUAAUUCAUUCUGUCUACCUAAUAGUGAAAAAAACAUAAAAUAUCUUACAAAUAAGCUGUGAUAGUAAAUUUAGCCUGUCAAAAUUUGCUUUUUACUCUCAAUUGAAUGAAUCUCAAUUCAUCUCAAUUUGCUAUGGUCAUUUAAAAAAUCCUUUUUUUAAAUUGAUGUAAUGUUAUUAAUUAAUGCUAUUACCUAAUAACUGGAACAUAAUAACAUUUAAAUUGUGUCUUAGAUUUAAAAGGCAAUGAACCAUAACACAAACAAACAAAUAACUGCAGUGUCACAGUACUUACUGAAAUGGUACCAAGGACCUCACAUAUAUUUACAAAAGUGAAAAAACACAGCACACAAUUAUUAAACUACACAACCACAAACCAGCAGAUAGAGAAUAGCAACAGUGCUCGAUGUUUCUCUGCUGUUUUUUUUUGUAUAACUUUCCCUUCUUCCUCGCUUUCAUUUAGUCCCAUAAAGCAGAGUUUUCAGUUGGCUUCAAAGCUCUUUGCAGAUCUCAGUUGGGGGCCUUCAAAGCCCCCUGUCUGUCGGCAGGUUUAGGCACAGAGAAAGCUUCUUGUUCUUUAAGGAUUUGGCUUACAAAUAACGCCCAGCCAGGGCCAAGGCAACUAGCUUGCACCCUGACAGGAUAGUAGACAGACUUCUGCAUUUUAGUGAUGUGUUUUGGGGGCUAUUCCUGCAUCUAUCUGAAAGUGAAGGCUUGGCCCUCUGCAGGCCUCCAUCAUACAAAGUGCUAGCAUUGGCCUCAAACAGGUGUAAAUACUCGACCAGUGAACCACUCCUGCUGCCAUGGUGCAACAUGAAUCCAGCUGGAAGAACAAGUGCUGCGUGGGCUCCCUAAAGUGCUGCUACACUGGGUCAUUGGAGAGCCACAACGUGUUUGGGAACAGAGCAGUCUGUGUUAUUUCAGCACAGCCUGAAAUAACACAGAUGGAUGAAGGGCCAUUUCACAGGCAUUAUGGAUUAAUCUUUGGCAGCAUCCCUUCUGGAUCAAACAAAAUUGGAUGUUUAACCUCACGAGCUGAGAGGUCUCUUGUGAUAAACCAGGAUUGAGAGGAUUGAAUGUGACCCGCAUUGGGUUAAACAUCACAUACUUGUAAAUGUAUUUGAGCUAACUCCUGCUGAAAAGAUGAAAAUCUAGUGUGUACACACCUCCUUCCUUACAGGUGAGUGUAAUCCAAACCCUGAAAAUGAUUUACUUCAUAACAUUCCAGUAAUACAUUACUAUAUACACACAAAUAGAAGACAUUAAUAGGCCUCUGUCAUUCACUUGAUGUCUAACAUAAAAUAAAAAGAUGUUAAAACUUUUGAGGAAGCCAUGCGAUCACAGGUGAAAAAGUGACCUUUUCAAAUGUAUUUAUUACUCCACCUUGCUGUUUAUAUCUACUACACAGCUGCAAUCUACCAUAUCUUCCCUCACUUAUUAUAAACUAAAAAUCACCGCGUUCAGUUUGACAGGAGCACUGAUUGAUGGGUCUAAACAGGCAUGGUGCACUUUUACAUUUUACACGCAGAAGUGCAUGUAACACGUAAAAGAACAAACAAUAAAAAGCAGUAUAGGCCUGGAGAUGUGAUGUGGAUAUAAUACAUUCCUUGUAAACACCAAUAAAAUGGACCAUGCAAUAGGAAUGAAA
Molecule: long non-coding RNA, 3482 nt
Organism: Etheostoma spectabile (orangethroat darter)
Lineage: Eukaryota; Metazoa; Chordata; Actinopteri; Perciformes; Percidae
Exons: 3
Source: RefSeq, a predicted model, not a curated record